RNAcentral lists this ribosomal RNA (440 nucleotides) under uncultured bacterium. RNAcentral describes it as "partial 16S ribosomal RNA". It matches the Rfam family "Bacterial small subunit ribosomal RNA", at positions 338 to 795 of the family's 1533-position model. The record is from RNAcentral.
CCUACGGGAGGCAGCAGUAGGGAAUAUUGCUCAAUGGGCGAAACCCUGAAGCAGCAACGCCGCGUGGAGGAUGAAGGUUCUCCGAUUGGUAACUCUCUUUUUUAGAGGAGAUAAUGACGGUAUGUAACGAUUAAUCCAUGGCUACCUCUGUUCCAGCAGCCGCGGUAACAGGGAGGGUGCAAGCGUUACUCGGAAUCACUGGGCGUAAAGCGCGCGUAGGCGGGUUAGCAAGUCAGAUGUGAAAUCCUAUGGCUUAACCAUAGAACUGCAUUUGAAACUGGUAUUCUAGAGUAUGGGAGAGGUAGGUGGAAUUCUUGGUGUAGGGGUAAAAUGCGUAGAGAUCAAGAGGAAUACUCAUUGCGAAGGCGACCUGCUAGACCAUAACUGACGCUGAUGCGCGAAAGCGUGGGGAGCAAACAGGAUUAGAUACCCGAGUAGUC